Molecule: long non-coding RNA, 5444 nt
Filed under: Heterocephalus glaber (naked mole-rat)
Lineage: Eukaryota; Metazoa; Chordata; Mammalia; Rodentia; Bathyergidae
Description: lncRNA (ENSHGLG00100040255.1)
Source: RNAcentral
GUCCAACAUGGACAGUUGUGCAGGUUGGACUUUGUACGAGCUUGUCUGGCAGGGAUACAUGGGAUUAAUAUCCAGCCCAGACCUUGCAGGCAAAGAGAUAUCCAGGCCCUUCAGCUGAUGCACACAGGAUGGCGCCCUGGCCUUCACUGCUCCUGUUCUGCUCUUUGGGCCCAGUUCUGACUUGACUGUGACAAUCUGAAAAGGAAUCAAACUCAGAUACCUGCACUUGCCAGGCAGGCACGGUGCCACUGAGCUAAAUUCCUGGCUGACAAGAGGGGAAAUAAACUUCUGAGCCUCUACCCUGACAGACAAUGCUAAGGACUGUGAUGGAAUAGUGUCUAAAGGAAUAUGCGACACCAGGAAGUACUCAGUCACUUCCCCAGUUUGCCUCAGUUUCCUCAUCCAUCAAAUGAGGGAAAUUAGUUGCUUCCUGUCACGAGAUGAUUCCGGUGAGCUUGGUGGAAGUUUCAGUUCUCUGCCAGUCUUCCAUUUCCUUACCUGCCUUCCUGGUAAGAACUUAAUCGGCUGUGCUCCCUUUGUGCCUCUGUCCCCACAACUCAGCAUAGCAUUCGUGCCCAGUCAAUAUCUGCUGAGCAAGCGGAAGAGAGAAUUUAUUACCUACUUAUGUCCCCCAGAACCCAGGGAGGUACACUUACUUGAUAGAAGGGGAAGACACUGUGUACAGAGUUCAAUGAGCUUCCUAGUGGCCCGUGACCAGGACAGACAUCUUCAGACCUGCUGUGAUGACCUUUCUGCUAGAUUCCACAACGCAGGCCAUUCUGGCUUGGGUGGGGUGGCACUGUACUGCUGGAUGUGAUUCACCUUCCCCAGAGGUCCUUGAUCCAACCCAGUGUCUCUCACACUGAGUCACAGCAGAGCUGUCCUGUUGGACAGGCAAGCCCAGGGAUCUCUUAGGCUAGCCAGGACACUGCCUGGGAAAUCCCUUGUGGGAGAGGGCAUGGGAGUGCAUGCAGGGAAUCACGGCCCAUCCACUCCCCUCUCCCACGAGGGUGUCCAAAGGACAACACCUACCCAGUCACUGUGCCUGAGGGCUCUAGCUCAGCGGCACCCCUUCUGCGUUCCCACUGUGGACACCUGAACUCCUGCCCUCAUCACCAAGAUUGACUGGGCUUACAACCUCCGGUUUAUGAACCUCCCUUCUGAGCAAGUUGAAUAGCUUUCCAGGCACACAUUCCAUCUGUUUACUCAACAGAAGUUGCUGGGCACCAGUGUGAUGCCAAUUUGUGGGCAACAGAGGCAGGCAUCGUGCUAGAAGGAGAGAUCACUGAGUGAGACAGGGGCCAGCAAGACAGAAGGGGCCAGGGUUGCUGUAUUGCCAGCUCCUCUCAUGGAAACUAGUGGGGUCCCCGAUCUCCUCCAAUAGCAGCACCCCCAAUGACCUAAACACUUGAUCUGACUGAUCAGGGUACACACUAUCUCUCAGUUACCACCUGGGGACCAAACUUCUCACACAGGAAAGCUGGGGUAUGGGGACAUCUCCAGACCAUAGCAGUGUAGUAUGGGGAUUUUGGUCAGCUGUGUGUAACAGAAAACUCACCCUGAUCAUGAGGUUGAAGAAGCCCAGAGAGAGGUAGCUGGGACUGAGCUGACACUCUAUGGUGGCAGAGGCCAAGGCACCUUCUGACUUGUUGCCCUGCCAUUCUCAGCACAUAUGUUCCACCUCCAGCUCCACCCAGCAAGGAGGAAGAGCAGGAUACAAGGCCUUGCACGGUGCUUGCACACACCACUUCUGCCAGCAUCCCAAGGACAAGAACUCAGGUCCACAGCAGCAUCUGGCUGCAGUGGAGGCCAAGCACUGCCCACUUCGUUUCCAGCAGCCAUGCGCGCAGCAGAAAAUCGGAGGUGUUUCCAUUAAGAGGCCACAGUUUGUGAAAGAUGAAGAAAGAAAGAAAGAAAGAAAGAAAGAAAGAAAGAAGGAAGGAAGAGAGAAAGUGGACUGAGUACCAGUGGUGUCCUCAGCACUCUGCUAGGCACAGUUGCAUGGGUUACCACUUUUACAGUCAACACAGCAGGGAAGAGCUGCAUCUGCCCGAGUCGCCAGCACCAUCUUCAGUGACGUCAUCACGUAACAGCAAGGAUGUCUCCUAAAGAGAGAAGGCCCACCAGUGGAGCUCCGUAAGCAGACUCCAGAUAACAGCAAUGGGGAACCAGCAUGGAGUGGUCAUCAGGCAUUGUCACCCACAGUUCUAUCCAAACCUGGGACUCGAUGUGUCCAAAUCAUACCAUUCUAGAACUGUACAGCAGCCUUCCCCUCAUCAAAAUGUCAGCACAUGUAGCACAUUAUGCCAGCAGGAAUGACAGCAUGCAAUUAUGCUGAGGUCAGACUGCCAUGAACGAAAUUGGGCUCCAUUACUACCAAUCAUACUAUAUGCCUAUUUCCUCAUCUGUAAGGUAGGAGUAGCAAUAGAUGUACUCAUUCUAAAAUCCAGUUACAGUGUUUCAAUACCAUCUGGACCAUAGUAAGUGCUCAUUAAAUGUUAGCAUUUAUUCAGUUCAAUCAACUCUUACAUACUGUGCCACCCGGGACCCAUGCGUAUCUGUUUGGCCCACUCUCACACACAAAAUCAGACUAAUUCCAUCUAGAAAGAGUGGGCUUAGGCCUUGGAGACUGAGCUACUCUAAUGGGGGUACAGCAGCACCAGCCAAACUGGCCCCCUUUCUGCUCCAUGAGUUGGCCCGUCCACCUUGGCCAAUGUGCAAAAAUGUUUGUGGCGAACUCAUUUGUUUUCCUUUCUGUUAGGUCGGCCUUCCAAAGGCAAAGAACUGUUGAAAUUAACCCAAGGCAGGGGCCAGUGGAGCAGACGGGGUCUGGGCUAGAGCCAGGCGUAAUGAAGUGGAAAAUGUUCACACCACAGGCAGCAUUACAAUGCACCUGUACAAACAGAACUCAGCCUGCCAUCCCUUCCUUCGGGGCCCAGCUGCCUCUCGGACUACUCUUUUAUGGCUUCACUCCUGGCCAUGCCUGGUCAACGUCAAGGUCUCUAAUGAAGAUAAGAGACAAAGGCCUCCAGAGAAGAGCUGGUAGAGAUGGAACAGAAGAGACGAAAAUGAGCAAAGGUACGCUCAGCACAGACAUCUCCUGAAAGUUCUGGGGAGUUCUCUGAAGACCAUGUUACCUAAAACAGGGAAGAACUACAGCACAGCUCAUGAAGAUUGAAGUUACGUGGCAAGAUUGAGGUAGAAAACUUUCACAUUGCUUGGCUCACUUCCCACACCCAUAUGAUCAGGCUCCAUUCUGCAGACAAGGAAACUGAGGCCCAGGGAGACAAAGCCAGCAGGUGACCAUGUCAAGAUUCAAGCCCAGGAACCAUGAUUUGUCUUCUGUACUCAGACCAGUGUUGAGUGAUGUUCUCAAAGCCACGCAGCUAUCAAGUGGGAAGCUGGAAGUCCUGGUGUGGUGGUUACUGCUCCACUAGGCAGCAGGAAGAGAACUUGGGGACAUCAAGGCCAGGCUGUCCUGAAGACUAGGCCAGUGAAGACAAGGGGCCUGGGUUUCCCCAGAGCAAGGCCUGUGGACCACAGUGCUACCAUGAGGGAAGAUGGGGAAAAGACAAACCAUAGUUCUUGACAUAGUGUGGCUCUACGUCUCCCAAUUUCACAAGGGCUCAGUUUGUCCCUUCCUGAGAUGGACCUUCCAUGGGCACUAAAUAGAAGGACUUUGUAAGGCACUUCCAAGGUCUAUUGCUCUUCACUCCUCUCAGACUCAACCUUAAGUCACACCCAACUCUAAUUGUCAUAACCAGAAGCUUUCUUACCACCAUGGGGGGCGGAGGGACAAAGGUCAAAAGUAGACAUCAUUACAACUGCCACAUACCUGGCCCUCACCUCUCAUUGCCAUCUUCUUAAACAUCAGUGGUUAGGGGCAUAAAGAGAGGGAAUGGAGAUAGUUACUCCCCACAGGGAGUCUGACAUAUAGCAGGCCCUCAGUGAUCACUAACACCUUUGACAAGCUAUGGGUUCUUUGCAGAUCAGAACCUGCUGCUUUAUAGCAUCCAAUCAUAGUGUCAUGCAGCCUGCAGUAACUGCCUAGUGAAUGCCUGUCUGUUGAGUGCAGGAGCUUUUCCGUCGCUCCCAUCCUCCUGGUUUAGGCAACAUCCAGGACUGUGUUUGGGCCUUUCUAAAUGCCCUGGGGCCAGUUUGACGCACAUCUCCCGGGGUGCCUCAUGGCUUCUCAGAGUUCAACCUCACCUAAUUCAAACUUAGCAGUAAGCUAUGUUUGCCAUUCUUCAUGGUUGAUGUUUAUAUGGCUGCUCUGAACUUUUAUAAUUAUUACUGUUUAAUUUAAAAAGAAGUUUAAAUUUUGCAAUGUACAAAAAAGUCAAGAUUGCCAUGUUUUGGUAAAAUGCUUCAUUCUUCAGUUUUCCCCAUUCGAUACACUUUCUCUGGUCCCUAUGUGGUAGGCAGCAUAAGGACCUCACUGUCCCUGGAGAAACAGACAUUGAAAUAAGCACAUUUAAUACAUUAUGAUUCCUGAAAUACUGAAAACUGCAGAGAGAAACUAGUUACAAGUGUGGAGAGUUAGCCUCCAUUUUGUCUUGAAAAGUGUUUAUCUAAGCCGGUAAUGCCAUAUACCAUAUGGCCCUAACUGCAUCAAGUGGCCUCCAUCUUCAGGGCUGAGGAGAUCCAAAGACAUGGCCUGUUUUCUUCCUGCAUCUUGAGGGAAUAAACAGAUGAGUACAGUUUAGGGCAAGAUUUCCCAAGUCAAUUCUACUACCUUAUGGGCAGGGCCAUGUUGGAAUAAGUCAAGGUUCUAGUAGAAAAUUAACGCCAGAAGAUCAGGAGGAUACCACAGGAUGAAAGAAAAGAAUCUCUCUCUCUCUCUCUCUCUCUCUCUCUCUCUCUCUCUCUGCAGAUUUCCCUCAUCUUUGUGAUUCUUACUGAAACCUGGAAGUAACUCUUUCAAGAAAGAGUUUAAGUGAUUUCAAGAGCACCCAGCCAGGGCAGGUGUUUCCCGUGGCUAGGAGGACACUCCUACUCCUUCAUGCUCCUGCUUGAGCAUCCCUUCUCUAAUUUACUGUGAGGCUCUUGACCACAGUAGCACUUCCUAUGACCAUCCUCUAGUGGCAGCAAGUUUCACAAGACAUAUGAUAUGUCGUCUUCAACCUUAUAGUUCUAGUAGGCGAGUGUCCUGACCAGCCCAAAGUAAGUGCUUCAUAAGUAUUUGUCAUCUGAAUAGAUGACUGAGUGGAUGAAUAAUGCCACGUUCAUUUACAAGCGCACUGUGGUUUUAUCUUUCUCGGAAAUAUUAUAACCCACUUGCUCCUAAACAGAUUUUUCAAAAUCACAUUCUAUGAAAUGUUACCAAUUCAUGAGAUAAUUUUACUGAACUAAUAAAAAGUUAAAAAAUAAGAAAUAGGGAUUCUUUUUGUUUUCAAACAAAAUUUAUCACAUAUACAUAAGAAGAGUUCAUUACCGUCACAGUG